GUUCACGAGCAGCCAAGGCCUUAUCAAGAGUCAGAUGCUUACUACGAGGACUCGAUUUCAAAACCUACAUCCUCUUCUUCACCCUCGUCCCCUUACUCAUCUUCGGAGCCUACCUCCACGGCCAGAAGCUCACCUACUUCUUGAGACCCCUCUGGCAAUCACCUCCCAAACCCUUCCAAACCAUCCCCCACUACCACCACGUCAACGUCUCCAUGCAAACCCUCUGCGCCCUCCACGGCUGGAGCCACCGCGACUCUCCUCGACGCGUCUUCGACGCCGUGCUCUUCAGCAACGAGGUCGACAUGCUCACCAUCCGCUGGAAAGAGCUCCACCCUUACGUGACCCAGUUCGUAAUUCUCGAAUCCAACUCCACCUUCACCGGUUUGCCUAAACCGCUGGUUUUCGCCGCGAACCGGGAAAAUUUCGGUUUCGUCGAGCCGAGGCUGACGUACGGGAGCAUCGGAGGGAGGUUCAGGAGAGGAGAGAACCCUUUUGUCGAAGAAGCUUACCAGAGGAUCGCGUUGGAUCAGCUGAUAAGACUCGCGGGGAUUCAAGAAGACGAUCUUUUGAUAAUGUCUGACGUGGACGAGAUCCCUAGCUCACAUACCAUCAACCUCCUUAGAUGGUGCGAUGGUUACCCGCCGGUUCUUCAUCUUCAGUUAAAAAACUACUUGUACUCGUUUGAGUAUUACGUGGACAGCAAGAGCUGGAGAGGUUCUGUUCAUCGGUACAUCCCCGGGAAGACGCGGUACGCUCAUUUCCGACAAGGGGACGUUCUUUUGGCGGACUCUGGUUGGCACUGCAGUUUCUGUUUCAGACGCAUUAGCGAGUUUGUGUUCAAGAUGAAAGCGUAUAGUCACAAUGACCGUGUUAGGUUCUCUCAUUAUUUAAAUCCGAAAAGGAUUCAAGAUGUGAUAUGUAGAGGGACUGAUCUGUUUGAUAUGAUUCCUGAGGAGUAUACGUUUAGGGAAAUUAUUGGGAAGCUGGGUCCGAUCCCGAGGUCUUACUCGGCUGUUCAUCUACCAAGUUAUCUGAUUGAAAAAGCUGAGAGUUAUAAGUACUUGUUACCUGGGAACUGCGUAAGGGAAAGUGGGUGAUAAGGGCUUGCGCUUAUCAGGCUUUUGUAGUUUGUUAGGUAAAUGUGGUUUAUUAUCAGCAGAGGGAGUGUGGAAACAGAGGAUGGUACAGUUUAUUGUGAGGGUAUAUAACCUUGUCUGCUUAUUAAUAUCGACUCAUGUUCCCAUGUUGUUUUUGGGGAAAUUUUGCUGGGAUAGUCUCUCUUUCUCUUCACUUCAAAACUCUAUUUCAUACUCUCUUUACUUGUUAGUCUGUACAAUUCACUAGUGAUUUCUUUACAUUAUCCUCAUAUUCUUUUUAAUCUUUAUUUUUAAAAAUUCAUUCAUGGUUUGUUAUCCUCUUGAUCCAAUUGUUAGUUGCUUUUAAGCCUUUUCUCCCUGAUAAUGGCGCUGUGCCUGCAAAACUUAAACCAAAUAAUUUGUAAAAUUCUUGUUAUUUAAGAAAAAGUUUGACAUUAUUGUGAAAGACAACCAUUUGUUGAGUUGUUGAUUUCUCUGUUAUAUGAACUAGGGUUCUUCAACGCGGGGUACUUGGGUGUUGUAUGUUCAUUCUCAAUAGAAAUGAUCUCAAAGUCAAUUGACUUUGCAAAGGAGUUCUUGUCACGUAUCCAUCAAACCCACUCGGUAAUGUGUUGACCAGACGUGAACUUUACCUUCUCGUUGACUUCAUCACUUCCAAGAACAUCAUCUCAUUAGCGAUGACAUUUACUCAGGCACAAUGUUCGGGUUUGAACAAUUCAUAAGUGUAAUAGAUGUAUUAAAAGAACAGAAGCUCAAAAACACCAAGGUUUCUAAAAGAGUCCAUGUCGUUUACCGCAUUUCCACGGAUCUGGGAUGUCCUCUCCGUGGGAGCCACAUGAGAGGUCAUGAGCAUAGUGAAGUGAAAUAUUAGCAUAGAGGCCCUACCUUGUUGUUAAAAAGAAGUUUACAUAAAAAGUCUUCAAAUUUGUAAUGUUAGCGAGAUACCACUACAUCUCUUGAGUUUUCUUUUGUUAUUAAUUACUAUUGUUUUAGGUUGGCGUUCUUUAGAAACAAAAUGUAGCUUUUGUUAAAUCUCUGCAGCCUUUGGUACGUGUAUAUAUAUACAUAAUAAGUCACCUAUUAUCCAAAAGAAAGAAACUAAAGUAGAUCAAAGCCCAUGAACGUAAUCUGCUCCUACCACCACGGACAUUAUAUACAUCAGUCUAGUGUGAUGAACACCGAGAAACAAGGCUAUAGUAUAUAUUGUACGAAGAAUAGUCACCGUUAAAUAUUGCUGAUGUGUUGCUCUUACGCCUUAGCCCUUAUGGCGGCAGCCUCAAGUAGAGCUGUCAAAUGGUCCAUCCAUCGCUCAAUUAGGCUUGGCUAGUUAAACCAUAGGCAGUAAUGGAUGAUCUAUAAUAGACAAUGAUCCAAACAAAUGCUCAAAAUCCAUAGAGAUCAUGUCUAAAUGGGCACUCCAUAGACUACCCAAUAGAAUUUAUAACUAUUUAUUUAUAAUUUUUAAUCGAAACUUUUAAAAUUAUAAUUUUUCUCAAAAAUUACAAAACUACUUUCUCAACAAAAUUAUAAAACUUUGUUUUUCUACGAAAACCGUAAAAUUUUGUUUUACUGCUAAAACCCAUAAAAUCUCAUUUUCCCACCAAAAUCGAGAAAUUUUGUUUUCCCACCAAAAUUGAGAAACUAUGUUUUCCUGUCAAGACCGAAAAAUCACCUUUUCCCAUCAAAACCAAGAAAUUAUAUUUUUCGCAAAACCGGAAAAUCAUGUUUUCUCGCCAAAACCGAGAAACUAUGUUUUCCCGCCAAAACCGAGAAAUCACAUUUUCCCACGAAAACAAAUAAAUUAUAUUUCCGCAAAACAGGAAAAUCAUGUUUUUGGCCAAAACCAUAAAAUCAUGUUUUCCCACCAAAACCGGAAAAUCAUGUUUUUCCGCCGAAACCGAGAAAUCAUUUUUUCCGCCAAAAACUGAGAAAUUAUAUUUUCUGCAAAACCAUAAAAUCUUGUUUUUCGCCAAAACCGUGUAAUCGUGUUUUCUUGUAAAAUUAAAAAAAUUACGUUUUCUCACAAAAAAAAUUGGAAAUUAUGUUUUCCCGCCAAAAUCGAAAAUUAUAUUUUCCGCAAAAACUGAAAAAUCAUGUUUUUCACCAAAACCGUGAUAUCAUGUUUUCUUGUAAAAUUAAAAAAAUAUGUUUUCCCAAAAUAAAACCGGAAAUUACAGUUUCCCGUCAAACGCGUAAAAUUAUAUUUUCCCAUUAAAAUUUUAAAUUUAUGUUUUCUCGCCAAAAUUGUUAAUUUUCUCAUCAAAGUAGUGAAAUUACGUUUUACGCUAAAACAAUAUUUCUUGCUAAAAUUGUAAACCUAUAUUUUUAUCAAAAUCAUAAAACUAUAUUUUUAAAAGACCCAUGGACACCCAUUGUCUAUUUGGUCUUUGUUCAAUUGGACUAUGGACCGCCCAAAGUGAAUUGGACUGGGCUAGCCCAUGGACGACCUACCCAGUUGACACCUCUAGCCUCGGGGCUAGCUAAACGAUCCUCGACGCAUCUAGAAGCAGCAACGUACGUGAUCUUGGUGCGGUGAACGAAAGCGCGGCUGCUUUUGAAUGGAGGUUGAAGCGUUUGGACUUGGAAACAGAUUCUUCAAGAGAAGUGAUCCAUACUCGAAGCCAAAGAGGCGAACAUAUAUAGAUCCUUCAUUCGUGAAGUGAGGUUGGUGAGUACGUACUUAAUUUGGUGAGUUGUAUUUUUUAUCAGCGGUCUAAGACAUAAGGCAUGAAAAGGCUUUUAUAUGUCCUAUAUAUGCUCUUAAACUUCAUGUUAAAUUUCUCAUUCGUUUGACGUAAAUGAAAUUUUUGAAUCAACAAGAGGGAUUAGAAUGACAAGCAAGCAUGAUAAAAUGAGGUCCACAGUCAGUACAUAGGGUAACAUUUAUAACACGUCAACAAGACUUACAAACAUCGGUAUAGUUACAUUCUUUUUUGUUUUUAUUUGAUAACCAGUUACAUUCUUUUAAAUUUUCUAUUUAUAGUUUUGCAUGUGGACUUGAUUAGGCUGGAAAGUUGACUAAACCAUAUUUUCAUGCAAAUUUGAACGAAGAAUAUAAUACAAGCUUUACAAGUUAUAUGAUCUGAAUAAUUCUCAAUAUAUUCUUCAUUUCACACUUCCAGUUUCGUCCUUUAACCGUAUAGACGUUGAAAAGAUAAAAGAGGAGCAUGGCGCGAGAGAGACGAACGUCCUUUAACAAGAGGCAUGUUUAUCCAACACAGACGAAUUGAGAUGGUUUUAUAAAGUCGACUUUCAACCUUCCGUAAUGUACAAGAUACCACUCAGAUAUCACUAGGGAAAGUCGCAUUUUUAAACUUCAAAGUAACAUACACACUUUAAAUAUUCAAACUUUUUGCAGUAACACUACUAACACUCAAACUGGAAAUUUUAUCAUAUCAAACCUCAAACGUGUUUCCCGCUGAAUAAAAGUCGACGGAACAGUAACUUUGUUAGAUGAUGUGGUCUUUUUCAAAAAAUAUAAAUAAAAUAAUUUUAGUGACUAUUUUAUUAUUUUAUAUAAUAUAAUAAGAUAUAUAUAGUUUCAUCAAAAUUAAGAAAAAUUAAAAAUUUGGAAAAACAAUUUUUUUUUUGGAAAAUGAUAACAUUUUUAAUACAUUAGAUUUUACUAAAAAUCUUUUGCAUCUCACAAUGUUGUAUUUAAAGUAAUAUUUUUUGUAAGUAGAAUUUCUGCAAAAAAAUCUUAACCUUUUCAAAACUCAUUUUUAACAUUAAAAGGUGUAAGAAGAUAAGUUUUAAAACUUACUAGAUUUUGACCCGCGCUUCGAAAGUCUAUUUCGGUUUGUAUGAAUUUAAAUUCUAUAAUAUUAUUAGUUUUAAAUUCGAAAACGCGGGUUCUUCUUUGGAUUAUAAACAAAAUUUGUGAAUUAGUAUUUUAGAAUUGGCGUACAUUAUUCUCUUACAAAGUCAUUAUAUCGAAGAAGGGCACUUGUUUAAAAUUAUAUAAUUUGUGAAUUUGUUUAUAUAAUAUUUUGUAUGUACACUAUUAUAUAACUCUUUUUAGUCUUAGAUGUUUCACCGGAUCCGAAAAACCAUACCAAAAUCAACCAAAAAAUAUAGUUGGGUUUGGAUCUAGGGCAAAGUACAUAUUUGAUUUUUUCUCCGACUUGCGGUCUUUGUUCGAUUCCUAGUCCUAUCUGAGAUCCAGUUGGGUAUUCAAAAUGUAUUAGUUUAUAUAAUAUUUGUAUGUACGCUAUUAUAUAAUUCUUUUUUAGUCUUAGAUAUUUCACCGGGUCCGAAAAACCAAACCAAAAUCAAUCAAGAAAUAUAGUUGUGGUUUGGGUUUGGAUUUAGGGCAAAGUACAUAUUUGAUUUUUUCGUCGACUUGCGGUCUUUAUUCGAUUCCUAGUCCUAUCCGAGACCCAGUUGGGUAUUCAAAGUAUAUUAAAUGUUUUAAGUAUAUUAGGUAUAUUUGAUUUUUUCAUAUAUGUAUUUGGUAUUUCGAUUGUGUUUUCAGUAUUAUGAAUAUUUUUUUAAGUUUCGGAUCCAGAUUUCCGAUUAUAGUUUCGGGUAAAAUUCAAGUUUUUUUGGGUAUGAAGAAAUGUUUUUAGGUAUCUUAGGUUCCUCAUGUCAUAUUUACCGUAAAAUUUGGGUUUUUUUAGGAAUUUAAAUAUUUUUCAGGUAUUUAUUUGUGUUUUCGGAUUUUUUUUGUGUUUCAGUAUUUUUUUAAUUUUUGGGUACUUCGAAUAUUUUUCGAGUCCUAAAAACCCCAAGCCAAUUUGGACCGUUACGUACCCAAAAACUAUAGGUAUUUUGUAGGUAUUUGAAUUAUGGACUUUGAUCCCAAAGAAAUCGACCCGAAUCCGAACCAGAAAAUUUUAAAUACUUAGAUCAAAAGGAACCGAUCCGUACCCAACCAGAAGACCCGAUGCCCAUACCUACUCUCUCACGUUAUAUUUUGUGUGCAUUUUAUAAGAGUUACAUUUGUUGAACUUGUGAGCCUUAAGAUUUACUUGGUUGAUUUUGGCUAAUUUAGUAGUAUAGAUUUGUAAAUUUUUUAAUAAUUUUUAAUCUUGUAUUAAAUAACAAAUUUUAUUUUAAACUAUAAAAAAAUAAUUUAACGUAAAAUAUAUAGUUUUAUUUUUUUAUAUAUGGUUUGUUAAAGUGUUUGUAUUAAAUUUGAUUUUGUAAAUUUUUGGAACUAUAUAGAUGUUUAGAAAAGAGUGUAAUAAAGUAUAUAAACUAUAUUGUAUGUUUAGAAAAGAGUAUAAUAAAGUAUAAAAAUUAUAUUGUGUAUAUCAUUGUCGUGUGAUAUGGUCUAAUAAAUAAAAUUUUAUUUGUUGUAUAACUUUGUCAUGUUCAAAAAGAUGUAGUGUAAUAAAUUAUUGUUAGAGAAAUUUUAGGUUAGAUAUUGUUAGUCAAAUAUUAUGGUAAGACCAAAUAUAUUGCUAGUAAAUGAAAUGGUCUAACAACCUUUCAUAAGUAGAUUUUUUCAGAAUGAUUCUCUUUUAAUAGAAUAGAUAUUGUAUAUUAAUUGUUUUCUAAUUUUGUACGCUUUUCAUAAUUUAAAUAUUUUAUAAUUUAAUGCACUAAAAAUAUUUUUGUUUUGAAAAAAAAAUUCGUUUUUCCUUAAAUUUUUAUCAAUUUCAUAUUUUUAUGAAAAUUAUAUAUUUUCUUAAUUAUAUAAUAAAUAAUAAGAUAUUAACUAAAUGUAUUUUAAAAAUAUUUUUUUUGAAAAAAUAUUAUGCUCGUUUAACGGAGUUAUUGUUCCGCCAACUUUUUUUUGUGAGAAAACUUGAGUGUUAGAAGUGUUCGUUAAUCAAGUUGAAGGUUUAAACUUCGUGUAUAGUCACUUUGACGGUUAAAAAUAGUAUUUUCCCGAUAUCACUACUUGUUUUGAGCUUUUUUCUUAUUAUUAAUUUUUUUAGUUUCUAUGGCUUCCUUUUUUUGUGUCUUAGAAACAAAAUGUAGCUUUUGUAAAACAUCUGCAGUCUUUGCUACGUAUAUAUAUAUCUAUAUUCACAUUUUAUCGAAAAGAAAAAAGAAACUAGAGUAGAACAAGACUCAUAUGAACGUGAUCUGAUCCUACCCACCACGGACAUUAUAUAUAAACAGCGGUCUAGUCUGAUGAACAACGAGGAAGAAGGCGUAUAGUCGUCCUUACGCCUUAGCCCAAAUGGCGUCAGCCUCAGGGCUAGCUAACGAUUCUCGACGCAUCUAGAAGCAGCAACGUACGUGGUCUUGGUGUGGUGGACGAAAGCGCGGCUGCAUUUGAGUGUAGGUUGAAGCGUUAGGACUUGGAAACAGAUUCUUCAAGAGAAGUGAUCCAUAUAUACUCGAAGCCAAAGGGCGAACAUAGAUCCUUCAUUCGUGAAAGUCAUGAUAAAGUGAGGUUGGUGAGUACCUACUUAAUUUGGUUAGUUAUAUACUUAUAUCAGUUGUCUAAGAGCGACAUAAGGCAUUAAAAAGGCUUUUAUAUAUAUAUGUCUAUAUAUGUUCUUAAAUUUCCAACUUGCAAUUUCUUACUUUCUCAUUCGUUUGACGUGUAUAAAAUUUUUGAAUCAACAAGAGGGAUCUAGAAUGGCAAGCAAGCAUAAAAAGGUGGGGUCCACAGUCACUAUGUGUAUAUGGGGUAACACGUGAACGAGACCUACAGACAUCGAUCGUUAUAGUUAUAACAGUCUUUUUGUUUUUAUUUGAUAACCAAGUUGACAUUCUUUUAAAUUUUAUAUUUAUAGUUUUGCAUGUUGACGUGAUUAGGCUGGAAAAAUUGACUAAACCAUAUUUUCAUGCAAAAUUGAACGAAGAAUAUACAAUUCUGAGAAUAUAAUACUGGUUACAUGAUCUGAAUGAUUCAGGUUCUCAGAUGUUCUUCAUUUCACACACUUCCAGUUUCGUCCUUUAACCCGUUACCCGUAUAGACGUUGAAGAGAUAAAAGAAAGUGACAGACCAGUCAACAGAGUGAAGAGGAGCAUGGCGCGAGAUAGACGAACAUCCUCUAACACGUGACUUUCAACCUUUCGUAAUGUACAAAGAUACCACCACUUGUCUUGAGUUUUUUUUUUUUUUUGUUAUUAUUAUUUUUUAGGUUCAAUGGCUUUCUUUAGAAAAAAAAUAUAGCUUUUGUUAAACCUCUGCAGCCUUUGGUACGUGUAUAUAUAUACAUAUAAAGUCACAUAUUAUCCAAAAUAAAGAAAUUAGAGUAGAUCAAAACUCAUGCGCGUUAUCUGCUCCCACCACCACGGGCAUUAUAUAUAUACAUCGGUCUCGUAGUGUGAUGAACACCGAGGAACAAGGCGUAUAGUCUAUAUUGUAUGAAGAACGUCACCGUAAAUUUGCUGAUGUGUUGCUCUUACGCCUUAUAGCCAUAAUGGCAGCAGCCUCAGGGCUAGCUAAAACGAUCCUCGACGCAUCUAGAAGCAGCAACGUACGUGGUCUUGGUUCGGUGGACGAAAGCGCGGCUGCGUUUGAAAAGAGGUCGAAGCGUUUGAACUUGGAAACAGAUUCUUAAAGAGAAGUGAUCCUUCAUUCGUGAAAGUGAUCAUGAUAAAGUGAGGUUGGUGAGUACGUACUUAAUUUGGUGAGUAAUAUUUUUUUUAUCAGUUGUGUAAGAGGGACAUAAGGCAAACCUAGGCUUUGUAUAUGUCUAUAUAUGUUCUUCAACUUCAUGUUAAAUUUCCAAUAUUUCUUACUUUCUGAUUCGUUUGACGCAUAUGAAAUUUUAGAAUCAACAAGAGGGAAUAGAAUAACAAGCAAGCAAGAAAAGAUGGGGUCCACAUUCAAUACAUGGGGUGGCAUAUCAUGACACGUCAACGGGACCUACGGGCGUCGUUAUUAUAGUUACAUUCUUUUUGUUUUUAUUUGAUAACCAAUUAAGUUGACAAUUUUCUAUACACAUAUAAAAAGUUGAAAAGGUGGGGUCCACAGUCAAUACAUGGGGUGGCAUAUCAUGAUGACACGUCGUUAUGGUUACAUUCUUUUUGGUUUUAUUUAUUUGGUAACCAAGUUGACGACAUUCUUUUAAAUAUAUAUAUAUAUAUAUAUAUUUUUGACUAAAGGCUUGACAUUCUUUUAAAUUUUCUAUGAUAGUUUUUGCAUGUAGACUUGAUUAGGCUGGAAUAAAAUAAAACGCGGACAUAUUAAGAUGGUGGCGACUUUCAAACUUCCGUACUAUACAAGACACACUACUCAUAACUCGAAUAUAACUAUUUGUUUCGAGUUUUUUCUUUUCAUUUUAAUCGCUUAAAACAAAUGUGUGAAGAAGGCCUCAAAACGCAAUCGCUGAUACUUUGACGCAGUAAAAACGUUUGACUAAACUUCUUUACGAAGCAGUAUAUAUCAGAAGAAGAGAUAGCGAAAGCUUCAGAAGAAGAAGAGAGAGCGAAAGCUAGAGAGAGAGAAAGAGAGAGAGAGCGGAGGCGAAGGUUGGAGAAUCGAUUAGGAGUGGUUGAUUUGGAGCGGCCAUGGCGUCUUCUAGUUCGGAGCGAGUCCCGAUAACAACGGCAUUGGCGAUUACACCGGCGGGUUCUAGGGUUUUACAAAACCCUAUCAGCGAAGGAGUUGAGGAGAAGCGGCUCAAGGAAGCAUCGAUCAAAAAGGAGGGGGAUGACGCAGACCUAAUCGCUAACGUCGCCAAGCCAGAAUCUGAGGUUUGCCUUAUUGAUUCUCAAAUUCCUAAACGUUCUGUUCUAAGUUCAUAUCGAGGGAGUGGCCUUGGAUUUGUUUUUUUCAAUAGUGUCUACUGUUUCUUGUUGUUGCAUUGCUUGCUCGUGGGGUCAGUGCUGAUUUGGUUUGCUUUGCAAUGUUUCUAUUUUUGGAAUGUUCAUUUAUUUUAUUUAUCAAAUGUUGUGUGAUUUGGCCCUGUGUAGAUCGUCGCUGAUAACAAACACAAGAUGGAUCUCUCUGCGUUAGCUGAAGUGAAGAAACGAGAAGAUGGCUUGAACAAGGACGUUCAGAUUGCUAAAGAGUGUAUCUCUAAUGUAAGACCGUAAUGAUCUAUGAUUUGGUUACUGAUUUUAAUUGUUCUUCUUUGGUUUGUCCUCAGCAAGAGAUUGAUGAUCUCGUUGCGGCUACAAAGAGAUUAAUUGUACAAGUUGUGGGGAAGGAAGCUGGAUUUGAUGAAGACUCGAUCAAGAAGAGGGAUAAAGCUGCCCUUAUUGCUUCCACCGCCAAGCUUGAAUCUGAGGUUUGCCUUUUUGAUUCUUGUAUAAAAUUUUUGGGUAAUUUUCACGACCAUUCAGUUUUGUGAAUGGCCUAAACGUCCUCUGUUCUAAGUUCAUAUCGAGUGAAUGGCCUUGGAUUUGUUUUUUUCAAUAGAGUGUCUACUGUUGCUUUGCUCGUGGGGUCAGUUCUGAUUUGGUCUAAAGUUUCUUGUUUGUACUAAGUGCAAAAAUCCAAGGAAAGCUCUGAAUCUGAGGUUUGAUUAUUAUGUUUCUUGUUUUGUCCUCAGUUGCAUGAGAUUCGUGCUGAAGGACAAGAGGAUAUUCUCGUUUGCCCCAACUUUUAUCCUACGGGUCUGAGUAAGAAUGUCAAGACUGAUGCAGAAGCACUCGGAGGUUCUUCUGUUCAAGAACCCAAGAUAGAUCGGAAGCUGAGGGCUGAGAUAGACUUCACAAGCCCCUCUAGUACGCCGCCAGCUUUCAUCAAUAUUGUAGAUCACCCAUGCUUGUUGUGGGAUGUCAAAGACCCUAAGAAAGACUUGACUUCGGUGAAGAAUUGGAGAGACGAAGGCCGGGGAGGCCCGGUCCGAAACCAGGGAAAUCAUAGUAAUAUUUUACCAUUUCUCUAACUACUACUAUUAUGUAAUUGAUUUUUUAAUUGUCUUAACUGGUUUUUGUUUGUUUGGUAUAUGUAGACAAUUGUUGGACUUACUCGUCCACCGAUGUCUACAGCUCCCAUCGAUUGAGAAACGAAGAAGACGAGGAUUUUCGCGUUAUGAGCGCGAGAUAUCUUACAUUUUACGUCAGUGAGGAAGAGCGAGAGAGGGAACGUAGACAUGGAAAGAGGAAAACACACCAAUGCCACGGAUUCCCAGUAACAGAUUCAUAAAGGAGCAUGGGGUUCCAGAAGAAUCUCCUCGGGAUGCUAAAACUGAUUACAGCUGCGUUAAAAAUCCGCCAUCUCGAACUCAAAAAUUGUUCCAUUUUGGUGCUGACGUUGAGUUCAUGGAGUCAGAUAAAAUUGAAGACUUGCAGAAGAUGCUUCUGCACCAGCCUGUCUCUGCAAAUAUGAUUCUCUACUACCCGGAAUACAAUAAUAUUCUUACGGUAAGUAACAAAUUUAGACUUAUUCAUCAAUAUGACAGUUGAGUAUUGAGUAUUGAGUAUUGAGUAUUGAGUAUUGAGUAUUGACUAUUGGUUAUUGCAGUUAGAGGAAAUCUAUGAAGGACCUACCUCAGAGAAAUCAGUCUAUAAGGGAAUUCAUGCGGUCUUGGUUCUUGCCAUUCUAAGGUUUCUAGGGAAGUUGGUGGCGCUAGUGAAGCUCAGCCAUGGAAUCAAAACUGGUGAAUCCGGCUACAUGUACAUAUCUCUGAGCAAGAUGAUCGUGAAUGUCGAGUACUCUGUCGACAAAAAUCUUCUUUGUCUACUCAAACGUAAAACAGAAGACGCCAUAGCUGAACCGUCGUAUCUUCUUCGGGACUUUACGGGUGUGAAUUAUGGUGAUAGUCCAGGUGUGUAACUUGGUUCUUUCUCGUUUAUGGGUUUGUUAAUAGGUGUUAGUUUGAUUCUAUUCUUCUUCUGUUGCAGUUGCAGUUGCAAGGACAAGUAAAAAGAGGAAGCUAAACUGAAACGAGAAAUGUUUUGAACUCGAGGUGCUCUCUCUCUCUAUUGGUUGAUUGAUGCACUUAAGAUGGCUUUUUGCUAUAUAAUCUGCCUGAUACUAGGAUAUUACUUAUUUAGCUCGGUAUGACUUUGUUGAUCAAAAGGCCAAAAGCGAAACUGUCCAUUGCUUCUACUGUUGGAUUGAAGUUAAAAGUGUCCUUCUUGCACAUCAUAUAUGUGUUUGCACUCUAUACGCUUAUAUAGAAAUGUCCUCCUGGUGCAGACUUAGUUGAGUUGUUUCUAUUUUUAUUGGCGCCUUAUCUCUUACUGUUCUUAUUCUCAGAGAAAAAGGAGGGAUCAAGCAUCAGAUAGAAGUGGAGUGCAACAGUACACAAUUUAACUAGGACACAAGACAAGGAGUAUAUUGUAGAGAAUGAACUUUUGCUAAUAUCUGAUAUUGAGCAUACGUUUGAGAGAUACAUGAUUUUGUGGUGCUUUUGACUUUUUGCCUUUUUUUUUUUUUUUUUUUUUGAGCAACUACUUCUGGCCUUUAUUGAUAGUAUUGUGAACCUUGAACCUUGAAUCUUGCUAAAGAAAAAAACUUCAUUCUCUGUAAUCAAAGAUCCGCAGCUGUUGCAGGACUUACAAUGUCGCAUGAACUAUUGCAUUUGUUGCAGGACCUAUAUUGCACAUGUUGCAUUUGUUGCUCUGUUUGUCAUUUGCACAAUUAGGUUAACGGACAUCAUCUUCAUGCUUUAGCAAAUAGAGACCGUUUAUUGAAGAACAUUUGACAUGCCGAGACUCAACGGCUCUAAUCUGUUUCAAAGGAGAGUCUUCACUCUAUCAGCACAUCAGUUUGUGGAUCUCGAACCAAGUUACAAGGGACACACUUGUUGAGGAGCCAAGUUGGUAACACGGACGGCGGGGAUUUUACCAAGUCAUGAUGGGACUAUAAACACAGCCGUUUGCGUAACGUUGGUACUAAAAUGUGGAGCAGACUCUUCUUGUUCACAAUGUUUGGGAAGAAUAUACAAGUUGAAACCGUGAAGAUCACGAAAGAGGUAAAAGAGACAGACGUCUCUAUGGAGAAGGAGGGACCCCCCAAUUCAUACCCUCUUGUCAUGGCUGAAGAAGAAGAUUCCUAACAAACAAAGAAAAGAGUUUCAAGAAGCUCGGAUGAAGCAAGAGAUGGUGAUGAUGAAACGACAACAACAAGGACAAGGACAAUGCCAAAGUAACGGUAGUACGGAUCUUUAUUCAUGUUUGGAUCAGCACCACGGCCAUUACAAGCACGAUCAGCUCUAAAACCAACAAAGACUAGCUGGAUUAGAGAACCAACAAGCUGCAAUUACUACCAAACGACACCGUCUUGCAACUUACAGCAAAAGACAUUGAUCACACUCAAGAACAUGGUCAACACUAAAGAAGAACUGGAGAGAACAAACCCUGAUCAUCAUCAUCCUGAAGAUUUCUAUGAUAAACUCUUUUGAUAUUUCCUUCUCUCAGCUUUUGUUAGAUCCUAAUUACUACCUGGAGUCAGGAGGAGGAGAAGGAGAGUUUGCUCUCAUGAGUAGUAGCACGAACUCUCCAUUACCAAACACAACCAUCAACAUCAACAAGAGAUUACUCAAUGGUACGUUUGGGAGUAGUAAUUUUCAGACAGAAGCUACCAAUGAUGUGUUCUUAAACAACAACAACAACUUAGCGAAUUUUGUGACCAACGAGAACACAAAACUAUAUGCAAACUCAUCAGUAGCCGGAGCUGGAGCAGCGUUUGCCGGAGGAACGACGAUUGCAUCGGCUGAUCAAAGCACAAUAAGUUGGGAGGACAUAAACUCUCUUGUCAACUCCGAUGAUGCAAGUUACUUCAAUGGGCCAAAUCAUGUGUAAUUUUUUUUUCUGUAAAAUUUAACUUUUACUUAUAUAAAGAGGGUUUAGUUAUAAGUAUGCAACUUUAGGGAGUGGUAAAAAAUCAUGUGGGUUGAGAUAUAUAUUCAUGAAGAUAUUUGAUUACUUUUAGUUUCAACUUAGCUUUAUUCACGAACAAUAUAUAUAUGAUCUUUUUAGUUUGUCUUUUUGAUUAAUUCUUUGUAAAUUUGAAAGAGAUUCUACCUUUUAGCUUCUUUCUUUUUCCCUUAAUUAAUUAGGUCUUUAAAAAUUUAAAAAUCUUUGCAAUUUACAAUAUCUGACACAUCAAUAUCAAUAUAUAUACAAUACUAAAAGUUGAAUAUACUCAAUGGAAAGGACCUCCACGUCGACGUAUAAAUUCAACCAAUGGGGUGUGUUCGUUUGUCCACCUCAAUUACGUUUUGGGCUUUUGAGUUCUGAGAUUAGCCGGGCCUUAGUGUGCUUAAGUUAUUUUUCUAUGGCAGUCACCCUAGGCUUCUCCGUCGCAGGUUUGUACAUCUUCCUCAACAUUCAAUCCGACUCAUUGUCUUCCCAAAGUAACUUACUGGAGCUUCAGUUAUAAAUACCCCUCAUCCAGAGAUGAAGAUUACAGCUUUUACUAGAACCAAAAGAAUACUCUGUUCAACUUUACGGUUAUUAUAAUGGUGAAUCUCCAAAUCCUUCUAACCGUUUUGAGAGCUGGGCGGUGCACCGACAGGUUGCUGUGAUUCUGGGAGGCUAGAAAUUUGAGAAAAGGCGGUGAGCUAAUGUGUCUUGACAUGCUCUUUGUCAAUGAGAAUGUAAGCAUUCUUUCCCAUGAAUUUUUUUUACAUUAUAUUAGACUUUAGCGGAGAUAGCGAUUGUUCCUUAUCAUUGUCUAAACAUUUUUAUUCAACGAUCUAUUAGUGCGAACUGUCAACUUAGUUUCAGGGAACGUCUCAAUGAAGGGUCUCUGUACACGUUAAGUGGUUUUGAUGUCACACGCAGCAGCCCCAAUUUUCGGUUGUCUGAUGCUCCCUUCUCGAUUCGGUUCAAUGAUGGAACAUCUCUUGAGAAGAAAACGUAGUCUGUUAGGCCCAUCAUUAGGGAUGUUAACUACAGGGUUAGGGCUCAACCCUCUUUUGUUUAUUAUAAACUCAUCUCUAUUUUACCCCAGCCCUAUUUUAACCUUAUUAUAAUCAAGAGUUAGGGCUGGUACCAGGGUUAACUCAUUUAAUUGAAAAAAAUAUUUCUUUUAUUUUUGUUCUUAAAUUUUAAAGAUAAAACUAGAAAAAUUAAGAUAUGAUAUGAUUCUUUCCGCCAAUUUGUUGAGCAUCAAAAUCAAAAGUUUUCCUCCUAAAAUCGCAAAAUCGAGUUUUUGCUCCACAACUAAGAAUAAAGUUUUUCCGUCAAAAAACAAAAAUUGUGUUUUUUUCCGCCAAAACCUAAUUUGAGUUUUUCCACCAAAACCACAAAAUCAAGUUUUCCCGCCAAAACCGCAAAAUCGAGCUUUCCCACAAAAAACGUAAAAUCGAGUUUUCCUGUCAAAACCGGCAAAUUGAGUUUUCCUGCCAAAACUGUAAAAUCGCGUUUUCCCGCCGAAACAGCAAAAUCAACUUUUCCGCUGAAACCGCAAAAUCUAGUUUUUCCCCUCUAGACCGCAAAAUCGAGUUUUCCCGCCAAAACCGCAAAAUCGAGUUUUUCCGCCAAAACCGCAAAAACGAGUUUUUCUGUCGAAACCGGCAAAUCGAGUUUUCCCGCCAAAAUCACAAAAUCGCGUUUUUCCGCCGAAACAGCAAAAACGAGUUUUCCGCCGAAACCGGUAAAUAGGGUUUUCCCGCCCAAACCGCAAAAUCGAGUUUUCCCGCCGAAACCGCAAAAUCGAGUUUUUCCGCCAAAACCGCAAAAUCGAGUUUUUCCGCCGAAACCGCAAAAUCGAUUUUGAUUUUUUGGCGGGAAAACUCGAUUUUAAAGUUUUGACGAAAAACUCGAUUUUGCGUUUUUGGAGAGAAAACUCGAUUUUGUUGUUUUAGUUGAAAACUCGAUAUUGCGGUUUCGACGGAAAAUUUCGUUGUUUAGUUUUUGGCGAGAAAACUCCACUCUAAGUUUUUUUGGGUGAAAAACAUUAUUAAAUAUUGUAUAAUAAUUGUGUAAAUCAAAAUAAAAGGUUUAAACCCUGGUCCUAUUAGGGCCAACCCUGUUUAAACCCUAUUUAAAAAAUGAAGGUUAGGGUUACAAAUGGGUUUGCAGAGUUAGGGCUAACCCUGUUAGGUUGAGCCCAUAUUAACAUCCCUACCCAUCAUACCUAUGGAUUCAAAUGUGGGAUUCUUAUGGCAAAAAUAUCAUCAAUACUUUCAAUGAUUUGAUCUCUCUGGCAGAGAAAACGAGUACGGUUUCCAAAGGGGAGGAAAAUCUAUCUAAAUAUAUUGAAUUAUAUCUUUGCUACCUAUAUAAAUGUUUAUAAUGUACAUGUAGAGUCCGAAGUACCAAGAGAUUGUUAAUAUUCGCUUAGGUGAUGGAUCUAUGAGACGUGGUCAGGUCUGGGAGUUUGAUGGAUGGCGAGAAAACUGUUGUCCAAGUAGUCUAGAUUGAAUUUAGACACUACACCAAUGCAAUUGGCUGUACAGGUUCGAUGUUCUCAAUAACUUAUUUUCUUUUGGUUGCAGGUUUUUGAAUUAACAUCUGAAAUUAGCACCGUUCAAUUCACUAAGGUAUUUACUAUGAUUAUUUUUACUGUCUUGCAGUCUAAAGCAUAAAUCAGUUUAGUCUUCUGGAUGUUACGUGAUACGUCUCAGAAACAAACGUUCCCACUAAUGUUGUAUAUCUUUUUUAUUAACCAACACAAACUAACCAGAUGCUGUUCGUUUGAUUUCAGUUAUUGUUGGGCAAGUAAAGGGAAUCAAAAUCACUUUUAGCGGUGAAAGCCAGAAUAUUCAACGAAUCAUGGUAUACCUAAGCAUUGAGAGGUAUGUACCACCUGGACAACUUAAAUACGUUGAACGGUAUGAAAGUGGUGGAAGUUUUGGUUGAAGAUGUUUUUGAUGGCACUUUGUCCUCACUCUGCAGGCACACCACUGUUUUUCUAAGUGUUUUUGACGUCCUCGCCACCAACUUCGAUGAGAAGUGACGAGCCUAAUGUCAUUGUUUGUUAGUGGUACGGAUUGCCCAGAAACUUUGAGCAUUUUAUAACUCUAUUUCUACAACCUUUAAUUGCUUACUUCUUUUCCUCCUAGGCCGGCUCUUCGUAAAUGAUACUUAAGGAACUCGUUUAUUCUGACAAACAGUGUCUUGCUAGCCAUAGAUUCCUCGAUGCGUUAGCAUAUAUACAACUCUCGUUUCAACUCUCAAGUUAACGUAUCUGAGUUUUCAGUCUUAGUGCACUUAACAUUAUGCAGGGAAUGUGUUAAGGACAUCGGUUCUUCCUCAGCCUCAACCAAGUAUGGAGGUGUCCAGAAACUCGAAUACGUCACAGAUGCGGAGUUUAAUGCACAUGUUCUGAGUCACAGGGCUGGAACACAACAUGUACGGCUGUACCCUUUUAAACAGGUCUAACAUGUAACUUAGACGAAUUAGCUUUGUACAAAAACCCAAAACAUACAAUGUAACUGUUAAAAGUGAAUGGUUUUGUUGGAACGUUUUAGCCCAUGUGAUCGUAAUAGACUGCAGGCUUUUUAUUUUUGUUUUCUAUGUGUGUUUUCCACCUAAGCUUCUACUCUGUUUAAUGAGUUUCUUACAUUUUUUUUUUUGGAACAAGAGUUUUACUUAUGCAAUAGUUUAAGAUGGUCACUAGAAACUUUGUUCUACAAAUCUUUAUUUAUACUUAGUGUCUGGAAUAAAUACAUGACAACAACAAGUUUCCGAGGCUACUUCAGCCUUUAAUCUACGUUCAUAAAGAAACAUUGAAAGGGAAGAGUACAUCCAGUCCACAUUAACAUUUUAGGUAAAACCCACAAAACCUAACGCUGUCUCUUCUAAGUUUCAAAACUCAAUAAGGGAAGAGUAAGAGGAAGACAUUAGUACAUCCAGUCCACAUUAACAUUAUGUUAAAAUGCAGUCGUUUAUGAAGUUUAUAUAUCAUCGUGGACACUUUGACAAUACAAAGGGUAUGAAUGGUGACCAGAGAACGACGAGGAAUAAUGCAUUUCCUAACGUUCCUAAAAAAAAUUACUAUUCACAAGGAAUAAUAAUUUCCUCUCAUUCCCUUUCAUUCUUUUUUUUGUAGAGAAUUAAAAAACAAAAUUAUUCCUUGUCAAAUUUGAUAAAGAAUAACUAUUCCUUUUCAUUCCUGGUAUUUUAUUCCCGUACAUUCCUUUUUUAUUCGUUCUUCUUGUUUCUCGGAUGGUCACCAGUCGGACCCAAAAAGUAUACUAUAAGCAUCUUAUAAUCUGGAAAUUUUUUGUAUUUUAUUUGAAAAAUUAUUUUUCUUCCAUAUAUAUAAUCAAAAAAAUAUUUAAUGAACUUAUGAAUGAUAUGAAAACAACAAGGAAGUUAGUUUAAAUAUAUGCUUAUGAAGGUACAAAGUGAAACAUGUUACAAGUAUGAAUUUAAUUUGGCAUAUAAAGCUUCUCUUUCUCAUCUCUAUCUUUAUGACAGUCGUGAAACAUACUAAGCAGCUGCGUUGUCCGUGUUUACCUUCUUCUCAUGGCUUAUCGAUCAUCAGGAACUUGCACCAGCUAGGAGAAUUACCACAUUAGUCUCUAUUGAAGCUGUCGAAGAAGUUUGGUCCUUUAAUGUUACUGAAAUCAACAGUUAUAAUUGUCUCCUCUGAAACAGAAAAACAAGUUCUUAAAGAUCACGACCUCAAUUCCAAGCGUAUAUAUUUUCAUAACUCCAGUAUUUUUUCUUUACUUCUUAGUUAGUUCUUGACUGUCUUCAGAAAGUUAUAUAAAAUGGGCUUUCUUAUAACUAUCGAUACAUUACUUUCCUCCCAUUACAUAGCAAAUAUACAAUAUAAAUACGAAUGUUACUAUCCAAAGAACUCAUCACUCCCUCCAACUCAAUCAUUAUAGUUUGUUUCAAAUCUACAACUAUAGUGCAGUCACAGAUACAACAAAGUCAUGUUAACUCCAGUCCACUUAAACUAUUGAUAUUUGGUGAAAAAUGCAGGUCAUACGUAUCUCUUGAAUGGUGAAUGUAGAAAUUAAAAAAACAUGGAAAUAAGCAUAUUACACAUCUAUUCAUUAGACAUACUAAAAAGUGAUGGAUUUAAGUUACAAUUCAUUUGGUUCGUAAGCAGGACCCGGAGCAUCUACGGUUGAGGAGAAUGUGGGACAUCAGCCACCAUGGCUCUCAAUCAAGUACAUAUCACAAAAAGCUAACGAGAAAACUACGUUGAGGAAGAUAGCCCAAAUAAGACAAAGAUAUAGCAAAAUUAAUGCUGAACUUUUUGCUACUAACCAAAAUCAACGAAAGACUUUUAAGGUAUAUGAAACAAAAAUUGGAAAUAGCAAUUCUCUCCAAUUAAAGAAUAAGGCAAUAAAAUUGUAAAAAUACAAAAUAAAACAAAAAUAUACACUAAAAGAAUCAUAAUAUAAUUCCAUAAUUGAUAGUGCUCAGUUACACUAAAAAGUCUAAAUUUACAACAUACACAAUUUUAUUUACAUCUUUAAACCUAUUAUCUAAUUAAAAUAAUUCUAAAAAAGUGCCAGCAUGAAAAGUUAGAAAAUAUACGAUAAAAAUAUAAUGCAUAACGUUAAAAAUACAUUAUCACUAAUCACUAAAAAAUCACAUUAGUAGUAAUAAAAAUGAAAUGACAACAUAUUUUAUUUAAACCAUAGAACGACACGCAACGAAGUGUUAUUAAAUAUACAAACUACAAAUUAAAUAUUCUCAACGCAAACACACAUAAAAAUGAGAUAUCAUAUUUGGAUAUAUUUAAAUAAAUGAUUUUAAAUAUAUUAUAUUCUUGAUAAUUUUAAAAUUAUUUGAAAAGACACUGAAUUUAAAAAAAAAUAAUAUACAAAUAAAACUAAAGCAAUAUUUUGCAACGUCAAAAUAAUAAAUGAAUAAAAAAUAUAUUAUGUUAAUAUUUAGAUUUUAAAGACUUCUAAUUCAUGUAAUAUUACAAAAUUCAAAAUUUUUUUAUUACAAUUAAUAUUUUACCAUUAGAUAUAUUAAAAGAAUAUUCUAGAUCGAUAUUCAAUUGUCAGUUUUCAACUAUUACACGUAAAAAAAUAUUAUUAAGUACGCUUUUUUUUGAAAAAUGAGUUUUUUUUCAUUUUAAGUAGGUUAUUGGAGUACUUCUUCUUUUCAAGAAUUUUUUCGAGAUGAGAUCCCGAUCUUUUAAACUAAGAUAAUUUAUGUUCUAUACAUAGUUAUAUUUUUUUACAUAACUCUAAAAUCUCGGACUUGAUUUUUCAUAUUUUAUUAGUUAAUUGUGUUACAUAUAAUAGAAAUACUUAUUUCAAACUAAAAAUAAAAUAUAAAAUCAAAUUUAAAAAUUAGUUAUAUAUAAUUUAAUAUACAAAAAUUCACAUACAAAUAAAAAUGACAAAUGCAAUAAAUUUAAAUAGCGCGGAGAAAGGAUCUAGUUACACAUAAAAGGAAAGAAACAAUAUCCAUCAUUCAUUACAUCAAUAUAAUGGAUGAUGUUGUUGAUAAAUUGUGAUGGUGUCGGUGUUGUGCAAUGGGUUCGUAAGAUGACUGAUUCUAACAAGGAAUCCGUUGUCAAAGUGUUGGAUCCGAGACUUUCUUCGUUUCCAUUACAUGAAGUGACGCAUGUUUUCUACGUUGCUAUGCUUUGUGUAGAAGAACAAGCUGUUGAGAGACCGACGAUAAGAGAAGACGUUCAGAUUCUCACCGAGGUACCAAAGAUGCCAACAUCCAAGGAUCAGCCGCCGGAGAAUCAGCUCUCGUCGAAGAAAGGUCCACCUGAUCUACUCUGAGAGUAUAAGGUUUGGCUGGUAAUUUGUUUACCAGUUUUAGUCGGGUGUGUGUGUUUUUUCCGGUUUGUAUUUUAUUUUUGACUCUUUUGAAGUGUGUUUCAUUUUCCUCUGGCUUUUAUUCUUUUUAUUUUUCACAUUAUCUGAAUUUUUAUCAGUUUAGUUUUGUAAUUUGUAUGAAUGAAGAUGUACAGUUGUUUUUUCUCAAAAGGAAAAUGCUAAUUUCUGAAUUUUAAAAUGUGUUGAAAAUUUGAAUUCUCAUGCAGGCACAUAUUUGUAUAAUUGAGAGCGAUUAUGGUUGUGGUUGCAUUCACGGCUUACAUAAAGAUUAUAAACGUACCAGAAUAAUUGAAGAACAACGCUGUAGCGCCCCAUGGCUAAUAGGCCACUCACAUCUCACUCGGUCUGUGGGCUCCAUCCUUUACAACGGUCGGUCCGUUAAUUUUCCUGAAGCUCAAAAUUUAUGUUUACUGACCCUGCAAUCACCAUCCGACUUUUCUCCUGUAUUUUGGCCUCACGUGCACGGUAUCCCGAAUUACUUCUCGAUAGAUCACCCAUCAUUUCACUAUUUCAUUCCAAACACGCUUAACUCUGGAGUUCUAUAAAUGGAUGUAUGACGGAAAAGAUAAAUAAACUUUGGUGACAUAUGUAUCCAAAUCAAUCAUUUUAAACUCGGGAAGUUACAAUUUACCUCCACUAAAAAACACAACGUCUACGUUGCACUCCACGACAGGUCUCAAGACGUCUCUUGGGUCAAAACUGAGAUUGCUAACCAGCUCUGACACCACUUGUAACACCUCGACCGCUAACAGCUAAUGGGCCACCCACGCAUGCUCAUUCGACAUGUGAGCCUCAUCCCGUUCCAACGGUCGGUCCAUUAAUUUUUUCGAAGCUCGAAAGCCGUGUUUACUAACCCUCAAUCACCACCCGACCUUUUCUCGUAUUUUGGUUUCAUCCGCAUGGUAUCGCUUAUCCCUUUCCGAUAGGUCACUUUUCAUUUCACUACUCCAGCCCAAAUACAGUUAACUCUGAAAUUUUAAACGGAUGUGUGAAAGAAAAAGUAAGUAAAUUUUUGAUAUAGAUAACUAAUUCAAGCAUCUUAAGCAUUUCUAUAUCUAUAUAUAAGAAUGUUACAAACACACGUGGAAAAAGUGUGAGCGAUCAAAAGUGGAAGUGUUGCCUGGAAACAAUGAUUGGUUUUCAACUUUUGAGUUAAAUGUAAGAAAGUGAAAUCUAUCACACUCAUCAAAAUUUCUCCCACAUGCAAAAUAUCUAUAAAUAAAAAAUCUUCAAUGUUUUUUUUAUGAGAUUUUUUUCUAACUCUUGUUCCCUUUUCAUGAAGCAAUCUCUAGUCUACUAGAAGCCUCUCUGAUUUCUCCAUCUUAAAUAUACACCACACUCAAGUGUUCGACUCCAUCAUUCAUGACUGAUCAAGGCUAUGCUGGUAUUGUCUCUUCAGAUUUUGGACAGGCGUUGAUUGGGGGUCGGAUUUGAGGUUCUCACUGGCCUUUGCCUUCCUCCUAUUUCAGUUCGUAUGCUUUGAUCAAUGGUCUUUUGUUGUUGUUGUGGGUUUUCUACCUUUUCUAUUAUCUUUAUGGUGUUGUUCCUCUUUACUUGUUCGAGUCUUAUGGCGGUUCCACAGAGAUGAUGCAGUCUUCGUUGAUGUGUUUUAUCCAGGUUGUAUUUUUUAUUUGUUUCAUCGUUUAUUGCCUCCCCUCUGCUUUUGUUUACGGGGUAAGACUGUUUGGUUGCUUGGUUUGUGUUCUUCCGGUUCUAUUCCAGCUCCUUCCUUGGUCAAUCAUCUUAUCAGGAUUUCAUGCUGGCCUCUUUGGGUUCGACUCCGAGCUUUUUCGACGUUCUGCGUCAACCCAUUUGUGUUACUUUGGUUAUGUUUUUUGGACGUUCCAGCUCCUUCCUUGGUCAAUCAUCUUAUCAGGAUUCCAUGCUGGUCUCUUUGGGUUCGACUCCGAGCUUUUUCGACGUCCUGCGUCAACCCAUUUGUGUUACUUUGGUUAUGUUUUUUGGAGUUGUUCUGCCUCUCUAAUGAUUACAAGAUCAUGUUUGUGUGUUCGUUAUAGUUCUCCAUAACGAAAUCACGUGGAAAUGGACCUAUAUUGUACACAAUGCAUCUAAGUGGGUAAAUCACUUCAUCGUGUGUGACACUGCAAUAGCUCGAGCUUGGGCCAUCCUCACUUUCUGUUACUGAUGAGGUCUUCUCUUUGACUCCUUGGAGUUUCUUUGUUAUAAGGUGCUUAUUGGUAUCUUGAUUUUCUGCAACUCCGUUGGCCUUUGGCUAUGUAAGAAGUACGAACCUUACGGUUGAUUUAAUAUUACACAAAGCUUUAAAAUAUAAACCACACCCGGCUUACAUUUAUCUGGUUUCAUUUAGGUGUUUAAGUCAAUUUAUAUAGACUGCAAAUCUUAUAGUUCGUCUAGGUUUCUUAUCAAAGAGAAACUCGGGUCUCUGCUUUUAAACAAAGGUAUCCGCAAAGGUAUCCGCGCUUGGAUGCAGGGCCGGCCCUGGGCCAAGCCCAAUGAAACAUUCGCCUUGGACCCCUAAAAUUAUUGAAAAUUUUUAUACGUAAAUAGGCCCCCAAUUUGUAAAAAAAAAAUUUUUAGCCCCCCAAAUUUUUUAAGUCUUUACUAAAUGGUUUUGGGCCUCCAAACUCUCAGGGCCGGCCCUGAUGACGGCUCAAGAUCAGCCUCAUGAAAACCUAUGAGCCAUGCUGAGAUAUGAGUAUGACCGAGGAUGAUCAUGAUCCUUAUCUAUAUUUGCUUUCUAGAUAGAUUCCAAGUGAUAAUGUGGUGUAUGGUUUUGUAAUCAGCAGAGCAGAAACAAAAUUUUAUAAUGAACCUUUUGGUAGCUAUUUUUUGCUAUUUUCAAUUGACACGUAUAUUUUUCAUUCUGUAUUUCACUUUGGUAUAAAUAUUAUCAUCAAUGGCGAAAAAGAAAAAUAGAUUUGUUUUCUUCAUGCAGUCCGGAUCGUUAACAAACAGUUUAUCAACACGGAUAUUCCUGCUCUUGAUCAUCUAAAAACUUCACCAAUACCGGACGUCGGACGAUGAAGUUUUCCUUAAAAACCAUUGGUGACCAUGUGGUCCACUUCUUACAGAGUAAAAUCAUUUUGUGUGCUUCCCAUGUCAAAAACAGUUGCAAAAAAUCAACUAAACUAGUUUUAGUCGAUAAAACAUAUUCUAGUUAAAGUUUUAUAUGUGUUUUAUAUAUUUACACCAGAUGGUUCACAUAAUCCAUGAAUAUUGCCAAGUAGUUCAACCUUGCAGUCUAAAUCCAAGACAACAUUCACAUCACUUCCUUAUGAUGCCUUGUACUUAGCAAACAGGAUUUGACCAUUUUAGCAAAUAUACAAUCCUUGCCCUAAACAAAUAUACGAUAAGAGUGAUCAAAUCAAUUGAUGCUAUUGUAUUGGUCUAUCAAUAAAAAAUGUAUGCUUGAAAGUUGAAACUAUCAUCUCCACUGGAACCAGCAAGAGAAGCUUGUUUUAAAAUUGGUCAUUUUAGAAUCCUUUUGCAGUUAAUCUUUUUUUAACAACUCGGCUACCAACACGACCUUACAAGCUAAGCUUAGUUUUAAAGACAGUUGACCAAAAAGUGUCCAAAUAUUUCUUGCAACUUGAAACAAAAGACAGUAAAAAAACCACCACCCGCGAAACGACCAUUAAAUAUUUGACAAUAUUUAAUAAUUUAUUACGUGAUCCACAUUUUAAAAUGGAUCUGGUCUUAUAAUUACUUAAUUAGAAGCUUAACAGAAAGACCAACGAAUACGAGCCAUAGGAUUGGCAAAUUCUCUGCUCUACAGAAAAAUAUCUCUCCAAUUGCAAUCGCCCUGGAACGAGAGAGUGGUAUCUCCAGAGAUCUUGUCCAUCUUUCUUCUUACUAUAGCUACGCCAUCACGUGUUGGCUUGCAACCAUGAUCCUUAUUUUCAUUUGGGCAGUACUCGUACUUGAUGUAGAAAAUUGCAUUUCUGGCAUUGAGUUUCUCGUUUGGCAAAGCCAUGUCCUCGUCGCUAGUAUACACCGCUACUUUAGUAAUGACCAACUUCGACAGAUCAAGCUGCAAAAAUACGAAGAAAGACGUGUUGUUAUUAUUGACAAUAGGCAGGAAAAAAAAAAGAAAAGAAGAGGUGCCUACACUUCGAAUGCUCGAAUUUGGAACGAGGAAUGCAAGCUCAAGGUAUACACGAAUCCAGUCAUUUUCUCGAAGCUCUGAUUUCUUCACCUGCGAAAAGAAAACACAUCACUUACAACAGUACUGGACUACUAGCUAGUGUGAAAAAAAAAACAAUAGUGAGCUUUUUAGUUUACCACGUAAUAAUGCUUUUUAUCAUCGAAAGCAUUCUCUCCCGGCCACUCAGGCAAUUCACUUUUGUCUUCAGAUUCAUCAUCAGAUUCAUCAUCAGAUUGAACCCAUAAAUUAUAAGCAUUAUCCUCCUCUACACACAGAGAUAUAAUUCACAUUACAUUACAUUUCAACAAUUAUUCAUUAUUAUGGAAAUAUAAUGUAACAAAACAGGCAAGUUUUUUUACCAUGUGGUCCGGGCUUGGGCCUAGCAAUAAAACAAGACAAUCUCUUGACCCCAUAGACUUCUUCAUAAAAACUGGUCUGGAAAGUUACAAGGGAACCGCCGGCAGCAGGAUCCUUUGCAACUGCGGUUACAAAGUGAAUGGAAUAAGGUAUUUUAUGGAACACAUUGUACUUCUCUAUGCCAUUCAGCUCCAAGUUAGUCCCCUGAGAAGAAGAAGUAUUUAUUAGAUUGCAAGAUCAAGAAACAAAUACUACAAGUUUUUUAAAUUUUUGUCACCUGGAUCAUAUUGUACUUGUGGAUCCCCAACCUAGCAUAUAGGACGAUGUACCUGGGGGCGGGUUUAUCCUUUGUGAUCUCCAAAGCCAUGAAAUUACAACGGCCUGGUUUUGCUUUCAUCAAAUGCUCGACAUCGAACCCCUAACCAAUAUUAUAGGGUAUAAAUAAUAUAUAUUCUGUGGAUUGAUUCAUUACAAAACCAAAAGAAGAUAAAAAGACUUACACCACACUGUCUCACUUUCUCCAUAAACUCACGCUCCUUCCUGAAUCCCUCAAGCAUUUUAGCCGAGGAAUCUCCCAUUAUUUUUUUUUAACUUUGAUCGACGGAAACAAGCGGCGGCUACUUUCAAUAUAGAUUGCUUAGGUUUCCUCUCGUGAUAUGUAUAUACACACAUUCGAUCUUCCUUUAUUGGGCCUACAAAGCCCAAACCGUUUUCUAUUAAGUCCGUUAUCUUUAGGCCAAUAUCCAAAACGAUGGUAUAACAAAGUUUGUCUGAUUUCAAAAAUAGUUAAGUAACGGGUUAACUCAUUGUUGCCCAAUCUUUUUAGUCUCGUUGUCGAAGGUGAUUGGUAGUUGUUGUAGGUGCUGUCCACAGUCCUAUUUAUUUUUAAAUCACCAAAUUUAAAGCAAUCAAGUUUUAAAUUUUUUUUUGAAACCACAGCUCUUGAAAUAACCUAUAGCUGUACAAGUGCUCUGCAGAGCCAAAUAUCCAAAGCAAUUUUUUAGUGAUUUCCAUAAAAUUCUACAUCAGUAAAAUCUAAAGCCACAGCAAAAAAUUUACAGAUUUUUUUCUACACCAAAAAUUUUUAAAGUUACAGCCCUUACCAAUUAGAGCCGUAAUAACAUGUUCUUUUCUAUCGAAUAGAAUAAAGAAUUUUUUACUCUUUAAAACACUUUUUGUCUUUCAAAUUACACAAUAGGUCACUUGUUGCUGAAAGCACACUUUCUCUUUUGUGCAAUGUACUAUAUGCCCUCAACCCUUCUUAACUAAGCUGUCACUUUCCCUUCUUAAAAAAAACCCGAUUAAUCAGUUUCUGAUUUUUUAGUUUUCAAAAACGAACCUAUAUUCUCUCUCCAACUUUACUUUUUCAGAUUCAGAUUUACUUUCCCCAAUUUGACGGUCCCUUCGGUUACUAACCCUAAUUCUGUGAACCCUCUUCUUCUUCAUCUUCAAUUUCUCCAUUGAACACCGUGAAACAGAGGUCCGCCGCGAGUUUGAUUGUGUAAUCUCAUCUACACGGACUUGGGAACUCUCGAGAAUCCUCCACCGAGAUAUAUAUGUACGACAGUCUGGUUCUGUGGUUCUCCCUUGGACGAAUCUCUCUAAUGUGUUGUGUCUUGAUUGGAUUCAGCUUAGUUCCUACUGAUGAAACCAAUCUCCAUAGCAAAGGUAAACAUUAAUCUGAUAUACGGCGCGUAAUUGUCGAAGUUAUCUCCUCAAAUACACUCCCAAAUUGAUUUGUUUUGUUUUGUUUUGGAAAUUCCGUUCAAUAACACAAACCAUAAACGAAAAGUUUGAGAUGAAAUCAUGAGGAAGUUGAGAAGUGGGGAGGAAAUCAAGAAGGAUUUGAGAGUUUGAGACAAGCAAAAGGUGGACUGAGUUCGUUGAUUGUCUCUGUUUCUCGAAAUCGUGGUAAGAUUCUUUUUUGUUUUCUUCACUCGUAAUUUUGUGUUCUGAGAAAUUGAUGUUCUGAAAAAUUGAGGAAAACGGGUUUGAGUUUAGUUUGUUUGAUGUGUUGUGUGCAUUUUCUCCAUGAAAAUAUGAACUAUCUUUUGGUUGAUAUCAUUGUAUUGUAUUGUUUGGUAUUGAAACACGCGUGGUUUAUUUUUUUGUUUUCGUUUUGUCUAAUUUGAUGUUUGGUUGUUGUUUCGUCUUUGUAUAUGUCAUCGUCUUUGUGUUUCUAUGUCACUGUAUUUUACUGUGUUUUGUGUCUCGUUUGUGGUAUCAUGUAUGUGUGGUGUGGCAAAGAAAUUGCAGACAGUGUCACCUACCAACAAUGUUACCAAUCGUAUAACUUCUGAAAGUUUUUGCUGGCUACAUGACAGGAUCCUUGAGGAGAAUCUAAGAGGUCAUAAAGCUCGAGAGUUGAUGCUGACACCUAGUGGUGUUUGUCUUUCAUAUUUUGUCCUUUAGUUUGGUUUGAGUCGUUGCCUCAAGACCUUUGUUCUUUCUCUUAAGUAAUGAAAACGUUUUCGUCUACAAAUUUUUAUCACCAGAUUCCGUCCAUGUCCACAAAUUUAAUCCAUGUCCAUGUCCACAGAUUUAGUCCAUGUCCACAUAACCAUUUACUAUGUCCAUGUCCACAUAUUUGUUUUACGUAAAUGUUAAUAAAUAUAUAUGAAAUGGAUGUUAAAAGAUAGAAAAUCUUAUAAAUAGAUUAUUAUAAUAAUUCUAUUUAUUUUAUUUAUUUUACAAUUGAAAAUAAAAUCAAUUAAAAACAUUAGGUGGUAUAAACAGUAAUAAAAUAAAUAACCAAAAAAAGUUUUAAAAGAAAAAUCUCAUCCACUAAUAGAAGCAUUAACUCACGUCCUAGUUAAUUUACUUUAUUAUCACAACCACAAGUCCAACUAGUUUAUUCUGCUUGGGAGGGCAAAAGAGUCCAUAAAUCGCCUAGGAAACGGAGAAAGUGCUCCUCAGGCACAAUGUGUCUUAUGAUGAAAAGAAAGUGACAAAAGUGCCUUAUAAAGUAACUCACUCUAGAAUAAAAUGCCUUCUACGAGUCAUUUAUCAAUUUGCAUCGUAUUUUAAACCGGUUAAACUUGAAACUAAAAUUCUUAUUAAUUUAAAGUGUUUAUAUUAAUUUGUAAAGUAUUAAUUUAUAGAGUUUCUAAUGUAUGUAACUUUUGAAUCUCAUCUGAAUUAGGGGUUGACAUUUUAUUCAUAAACCGUAACCGACCCAAACUUGAAUCUAUACUAAAAUACAUGGUGGAUCUUUUUUUGGACCUGCGGGUUUCGGUUCGGAUCUGGAUCCUAUCCGAGACUCGAUCGGUAUCCGAAAUAUCCAAAACUUAUUUUAUAUAUUAGAUAUAUUUGUGUAUUUUGGUAUAUUUUUGAUAUUGUGGGUAUUUUUAAGUUUCAUAUUUAUAUUUUUGGGUAUAUUUUCGGGUCUCGGGUAAAAAUUUUGAUCUUCGAAAAAAUAUAGAUCGGGUACUGGGGUAAAAUUUCAAGUAUUUUCAGUUUUUUUUUUCUAAUCAGAUUUCAAAUAAUUUUUUCUAAUCAGAUUUCAAGUAGUGUCACCCCUCGAUCCAUCAGUUCUCAAUCCCCUCGGAUCUGAGUUCAUAUCAACCAUACCUAAAGAGUGAUCCAUAUUUUGGUUCUAUCAGUUGGUAUCAGAGCCACUUGGCUGGUUUGUUUUCAUUUCAUCUUUUCAUCUUCUCAUCUCUCCACGAUUUUCUUUUCUUAUUUCUUGUUGGAUCCGGGCUGUUUCUUUACUCCCUUGUGAUCGCCAGUUAUUAAAAAAAAAGAGAAAAAAAAAAUCGAUCAAAAAAAUAGAGUGAAAGUUUUGGCUUAAAUCACUUCUGAAGAGAAAUCCAGGGGGAGUGGUGGAAGAGAAACUCUGCUUGCUGAAGAGAAACCCAGCCUUAGGACAGUUAAGGCGGAUCCACACAAAAAUCUCUUCAUUUUCGUUCUCUUUUCUUUUACCACAAAGUUUGUAUUGGGUUUUGAUUGCUGAUUUUUUACUGCCUAUCAUCCUUUGAACCAGUGAAAGAACUCUGAGUGACCAUCUAAAAAUCGUGAGCUAAACACUCGAGAGUGUGAGGAUUUUUAUUUGCUAACUUUGUUAAGUGUUUCAGGAUGUUUGGACUUCUCAAGAAAUCAAAACCACAACAAGACGUCUACUUUCCUUUUAAAACUGUUUUUGAAAAGGAGAAAUUGAUUUUUGAUAAGAAACAGUUUGCUUCUAAUGGGUUUGACUUUGUGCAGAAACAAAGGAAGAGACAAAACAGGUGCGAUGAUGAGAAGUGGGCCAGAAGUGGUGAUCGUCCCUUCACCAAAGCCAAAAGAAGCAAUCGUGAUGUGCCUGAUCAGAACGAGCUUCAGACUUAUGCUAGUUUGGAAAAGAUGUUGCAUAAGGCGAUUCAUGUUGUUCGACAACUCAAAAAGAAGGGAAACACAAACACUUUUUCAGCACUAAAACAACAAAGUAAUUCUUCUUCUCUUUCAAAUUUUGAUUUGAAAACUAAUGUGUUGUCUUCUGAUAAAAGCAAGGCUCUGAAAACCACAAGCAAGACUCUUUCUACCAGAUGCUUCAAAUGUCAUAGGGUCGGUCAUUAUGCCAACAAGUGCCAAAAACAGAAACCGUUGGUGACUUUGGAGAAAGUUGAAGCUGAGCCAGAAAAGGAAGACCCUUUGCCAAUUUUCGAUGACUAUGCACAUGAACCGAAGGAAGGGUCAGGUGGAGAGCAAAACUGUGGCCAUCAAGCCGUCCCGCGUGCGUACCGAUUUGAGCUUCGGCUGGAACCACGACCAGACGACCGACUUCCCCGUACUGAAGCUCGUCUUCCCCGACCAACUCGACAUUCUAAGACCCAUGGUCGAGUAAGACUUAGCUUGGGUGGUGAAGAAACCAAAGACGGACGUGCAUUCUCAUCCGGCGAACCAUCCGGACAGUCCCGCAAGCGUCCUUAUCGUUACCCCGUGCAUCCAUCUGGUUCGGAUGAACCUGGACAUCUUGACUAGUCUUCUCCAUUUUCCGUGCCUUGACCAGAUCUAGUCUUCUCCAUUUUUCGUGCCUUGACUAGAUCUAGUCAAAUUUGUAUUUUCUAUGCAUUGUUUUCCCACAUUUUCUUUAAUUGUCUUUGACUACAAAACACUAUAAAUAUGUAGUCCCUUUGAUGAAUAAAAUCAGUUCAGUUUUGGUUGUUUAUUUCGUUUCUACUCUGAGUGAGAGAGAGAGUUCUUUAGCUAGUUCAUUGGUGUGAACCGGCUUGUUGAUUUGGUGGUCAGCCAAUUCAUCUUUGUGUGUUGUUUGGUGGUUAGCCAACACAUUCAUUAUUUGUUUGGUGGUUAACCUUAGAUCGUGGGUAUAUCAAGAGCCAUUCCGCAUCUCUUGACGAUCCUUUCAAUCCAUCUCAGUUCCAGAAGUGUUGUUUGCCUUCUCGGAUCAUAUCCAACACCCAGCUAAAGUGAUCCUCCCUAUCUUAGGGUUCUUCACUUGGUAUCAGAGCCACUCUUCUGGUAACUCUAUUAUCAUUCCAUCUUCUCAUCUCUCCAUCUUCUUCAAACAUUUCUUCGUCUACCUUUCUUGAAUCCGGGCCCCUCAUUACCAUCCAUAUAUAAAAAAAAAAGAAAAAAAAAAGAAAAAGAAAGAUCUAUCCAAAAAAAAAGGAUUCAAAAGAUUGAUUUGUGGUUUGGUGGUGGAAGAGAAAGCCUGCUGGCUGAGGAAAAAUCCAGCCUUUGAGGUGGUUAAGGCGGAUUCCAAACUAAAAAUAUCUUAUCUUUCUAUCUUGAGAAAAACCCUUUUGUUUGCUUUGGAUCUACCCAUUGAGAUUCUUGAUCUGUUCUCUUAGAACUUUGAGAGACAACUCUUGUGUGACCAUAAAAUUUGAGUGAAACACGUGUGUGGGUGAGGAUAAACACUUGAGUGCGUGAGGAUUUAUCUAACCUUUGUGUUGAGUAAUUAUUUCAGGAAUAAGAUGUUUGGUCUUCACCGGAGAAAUACCAAGGAGAAAUCCCCACGACCAUCAGCCUCUCAGUCUUCAUUUAAAUCUUCUUUGAAUUAUUUUGAUGAGUGUGCUAAUGUGCAGGAAAAACCAAACAGGUGGAGCAAAGAGCAUGUCAAUACAUCCAAAGGUGAAUCUGAUCCAAGAAGGCGAUUGCUUCAGUUUGAUGUCCAACAAUUGUGUGAUAACUUUGUGAAGGGUGUGGACAAAGCCCUCAAGGACGUCAGCAAGAGCCAAAAGAAGAGCACAUCCACACGUGCUCCAGUAGCUGAGCCAUCAUUUUCCAUCAGUAAUAAAAACCAAGGUGAAUUUGAAAACUGUUUUGAAGAAUUUAAAGAUUUUUCAGAUUCUUCACCUAUAUUUGAUGAAACUGAUGAAGAACCAAUUGAAAAUUUGAUGUCUUGUGAAUAAAGUUGUGAUCUUCCUUAUCUUGAAUCUGAGUUUAUAAAUGAUAAUGAACAAGCUAAUGUAGAACUAACUGUUUUGCAACCGGAGCAUCCGAGUAGCCUUGUCUUGUCUCAACAGGUUUUUGAGGAAGAGCCACUGGAUAUUCCACAUCAGUGCCCAUGUCUUGACACUUGGAUAUCUUUGGAUGAAGUCUCAGAACCUAUCUUUGAUGUGGAGGACGAACCUGAUCCAGUCUUUGAUGAAGAAGCAACAAGCAUCAUGUCCACCUUUAUGGAGAGCCAUCUUUGCUUUGAUUCCGGCACAACUACUGCUCCUUCAUCUCCUGCCCCUUUGCUUUCUGAUCUUCAAGAGCACUGUGAGAAAUCUAAAUUAGUUAUUUCUCUGCCUGACAUGUUUGAUAAGAUCAGUUCUCUUGAUGUGAUUCGUUUUGGUCUUGAUAAGAUAAAAGAAAAUUGUUUUUCUGUUUUUGGAAACAUGAUUAAUUCUUUUAAAAUCUUUGAACCUGAUAAAUUUCUUGAUCAGCAACGUUUUCAAAAUAACCUUGGCAUCAGUUCUGAAAUUAUUUUGAGCUUUGAUCAGUCCCUCGAACAAAGCAAAGUUUUUGAUCAUUUUGAAAGUAUCUUGAGGUUGAUUUGAUUUUUGUGCUACAAAAUCUUUUGAUUCGUUUGUUUUCAAAGAAAAUAGCUUUGAUCUGAACUCAUCUAGGCAUAGACUGAUCACAGAUGAUUUGUUUGUAUUUUCUCUGGACUUGGACGAUUUCUUAAUUAAAAAGAUGCAGGAACAGAAUUCACUUGAAACUGAAAUUGGUUUUUGUGAACUUGAUUUUUGUGAUUCUGUUUUGCAGCCUGAUCUCUUGAGUUUUGAAAAUGAUAAAACUUUGAAUUUUCUGAGAUCAUCUUGUGAGAAUUUUGUUGAUUUGAGUGUUGAUGAUAUAUUGGUCUACAACACAUUCUUUGAAAAAUGUCUUGAGUUUUUGAUAGUUGUUUCUCAAUCUGAACUUAAGCUUGUGUGUUCAGAUGUUGAUAAUGAUAUGCACGUUUUGGAAAUGAUUAAUGUUGUUGCAUAUCAUGAUAAGAUUCUUGUAUGUAAUGUCUACUUUGAUUUGCUUCUUGACAGGCUGAAAAGUGUGCUACUUGUUCUUGGAAAUGAUAUCUUAAUUUUUGAUUUGAACAAGUAUCUCUUUUGCACAUUUGAUCCUGGUCUUUUAGUGUUUGUUUUGAGUAUCCAGGAAAGACAGGUUCAGCCUCUGAAUGCAAGCAUUGGCCGUGCCCAACAACCUCAGAUUUGGAGAAGCUUUGUUGUUCAAACCGGCUACCUUGAUGCCAGAGACAGAGGUUCAGUCCAAGAAGGAUAUCUCAACAGUCCGAAGGUAUUUUGUCUUGAAUCCAAUUUUACUCGAAAGCCAACUCAUCAAGGAUUCACUGAGGCUUGGAGUCGCAUGAAAACCUUCACGGAUGAAGAAGUUAUGAAUUUUCCAAACCAGAGGUUCUUCAGUCCGCCUAUCCGCGAGUACCAGAUUUCUAAAGGAUAUUCAUGCCCCAUAAAAAAGCGGCCUGAGCCAAAACCGAUCAUAGGGUUCCAGGUGGAUCUCCCAGCUUCUCAGAAAGACCGAAAUCAGGAGAAAUGGCCAUGGAAUUAUGAAGUUAUGAUCCAUCCACCAAAACCGGCCAGACCAAAGACAGCACAACCUUUUUCAUUCAGCCAAGAACCCGAAGGUACUUCCAAAACUUCUACUUUUAUUUGUGCUGAUGAAUCUGUUUUGAAGCUUGAUAUCUUGUGUGUUAAAACUGAUAGACCUUGGCUUGUGUUGAGAUCAUUUCUUAAAAAUUGUGUUGUCUUGAUUUUUGAUGUCAUCUUGGUUUACAACACAUUCUUUGAUGAAUAUCCUAAGAGCUUGGAUCAUGUUCUUGAUGUCCUAAGGAUAGAGAAACUCUUUGAUUAUUUCUCUCGCAGAUUUGAUGUGGUUUCUCUAGUUGUUUUGAAAGUACAUGAUAAGCAUGAUCAAUUCCCAAGAAGAAAAAGCACUGGUGAACGCCAAAGGUCUUAUGUAUCAGGGACAUGGAACUGGAAGUACUUAGGAAAACAAGUCCUAAACUCCAAGGAAGUUUAUGUCCAUACGUUUCCUUCAUUGAAUUUUAUAUGAUUUUAAAAUUAGUUUUGUCUUAUUCAUUUAAUUUUGAUACAGGUGAAAUGGAUUUGAGGUCAAAUCCUUUUCAAGAGGGAGGGAAUGAUGUGCCAUGGGGUAGCGCACCGGGUAAAACAGACAUGCAUGGCUUGAUCAUGGAAAGUAGAAAAGAUAUAUGUUCAUUGUUUGACUCAUAUCUUCCUAACCACGAGGCUUCUACGCAUGAAAUAACUUGGAUAAUGUUCUCAACUCAAUUACAGAGCUCCUAGAAGAAAAAUCAGAUCAAACGGAGUUCAUAUGUGAUAGUUAUGCUAUUUACAAAUCAGGUGAUCUUCAGUUCUCGCGAAUUCAGACCACCCGAGAAGCUCGAAAGGGUUAACCUUCUUUCUGAUGAACCAACGACCAAUUCAAUCAUUCCAAAGGUGAUUAUUCAUGUUCCAAAUGUCCAAGAAAGCAUUGGGCUUGAUCGUUUUCAAAAAGAUUCAAAAACGAGCUUGUUUGGGCCAAAUGGAGAAACCGAUAAAAUAUUGGCUAAGGAAAAAGAUGGAUUUCGACCAAGCCUCAAAGGGACAUGACUUGGCCCAUAUCAGGAGUAUAUUCUUCACCUUUCAAAGUCCUGGUCGUGGCUAUAUCAAGAGGUAGUCCAAAUUUCAGUCAAAGACUUUAUUUAGUCAAGUCUUUGUUUCUAUUUCCAAUGUCAUGUUUUUUAGCACAUUCUUCUUUGGAUCUCUACAACUUGUUAUUUAUAUUCUUUGGAUCUCUACAACUUGUAAUCCUAUAAAUAAGGCCUAAGAGCCACAAAAUAAAUCAGAUUGUUUUCCCUUUUUUAUGAGUUUAUCUCUUUGUUCUUUGCUUAGAACAUUCAUACUUCUCUUGGUGAGGUCAUCUCCAAGCGAACCACUUCGUUGUGUUGGACCGGUGCGUCACAUCCGGCAACCUUCGAAUCUCUGGUAGUAUCUUUGGGCUAUUCUGCAACCCUUAGUGUUACCCCUCGAUCCAUCAGUUCUCAAUCCCCUCGGAUCUGAGUUCAUAUCAACCAUACCGAAAGAGUGAUCCAUAUUUUGGUUCUAUCACGUGGGGUCCAGUUACAAAAAAAAGAAGAAGAAUAUAUGUGGUCCACAGUUAGUACAUGUGGUCCACAGUAAGUACAUGAGGUAACAUAUUAAAUGACAGGUGGACCUUUUCGGUGGGACCUAUGGACAUCGUUAUAGUUGCAUUUCUUUUUUAUAACUACAUUCGAUUUAAUUUUGUAUUUAUAGUUUUGCAUGCAUGUUGACGCGAUUAGGCUGAAAAAUUGACUAAAACCAUAUUUUUAUGCAAAUUUGUACGAAGAAUAUAAUACUAGCUUCUUGCAAGUUACAUGAUCUGAAUCAUCUGAUGCAUGAUUCUCAAGAUGUACUUCAUCAUUUCACACUUCCAGUUUCGUCCUUUAACCAUAUAGACGUUGAAGAGAUAUAUAGAAGAAAGUGUCAGACCAGAGUCAAGAAGAGCAAUGGCGCGAGCGAGAGGAACGUCCAGUCCACUAACACGUGGAGGCAUGUUUUUCCAGACCAACCCAGACAAAUUCAGAUGGUUUUUAACGUCGACUUUCACCUUCCGUAAUGUACAAGGUACCAUUCAGAUAUAACAACUUGUUUUGAGUUUUUUUUUGCUUAUAUUUUUUAAAUUUUAUAUGGCUUCCUUUUUUGUGUCUUAGAAAUAAAAAGGUCCCUUUUGUAAAACCUAUGGAGUCUUUGGUACGUAUUGGAUUAUCUUUGUGUAUGUGAAACAAUCUACUCAUUCUGUUCCUAAAAGAUCCAUGUUAUAGUUUUUUCACACUUAUUAAGAAAACAUUUAAAAUUGUAUUUCCCAAUACAUUGUCUUUCUUAAUUAACUAUUCCCAAUAACUUUUAACCAAUGAGAUUUUAUUAAACACAAUUGUAAUUUUUGAAAAACACAAUUUUUCAUUAAUUAAUGUAUAGAAAAUGUAAAAAAUGUAUCUUUGUGAAACAAAUUUUUUUUCUAAAAAUGGAUCUAUAAGGAAUAGAGGGAGUAUACUGUUUAGACUUAGUUAAUUUGUGUGGUUAAACUUUAUGAAAUAGUUUUUUCUUAUUAUAUUAUUAGAUAGAUUCUUAAUCUGCUUUCUUGGGAUUUGGAACUCUACAUAUGUUUCCAUUCUGUAAUGUACUGCUUUAAUUUCUUUGGAUUUGGAACUCUACAAAUGUUUCCAUUUUUGUUUAACAAUUAACAAUUAACUGUGGAAAGGCUUUUAAUUCUCUUUAUAUUUAUAUAAGAACAAAAUUUAGGUUCACCGACUACGGUGAACUUUUAAAUUCACCUCUCAUUCUAAAACCAAUUAAAGUGUCACAUAGUUUAAAUUCACCUCUCAUUCUAAAACCAAUUAAAGUGUCACAUAGAUAAUUAAUUAAAACAUAUUAAGUUUAUUUAAAAAUAACUAAAAAAAGAAUUUUAACGACGACGCCGCCAGCUAAACUGUAAACCCUAAAUCUUAAAUUCUAAACCCUAAAUCUCAAAUUCUAAACCCUAAAUCUUAAAUCCCAAAUCCUAAACCCUAUACCCUAAACCCAAAUCCUAGACGUUAAACACAAAUUGUAUACCCUAAACCCAAAUUGUAUACCUUAAACCCAAACCAUAAAUCCUAAACCCAAACCAUAUACCCUAAACCUAAAUCCUAAAUCUUAAACUCAAACCUUAUAGCGUCUAGUUUUAGAGUUUGGGUUUAUGGUUUACGGUUCGAGUUUUAAGUCUAAGAUUUUGGUUUAGAGUGUACAAUUUUCACUAAUUAACGAUGUCAACUAAUAAAAUCAGAUUAAUUUAAUUCCAGCGGUUUUAGGAACAUAUAUAUAAACGAAAAAGCAUCAAACGGCUAUAAUUGGCGUUACAGUUUUCCUAAAACGAGAGGAAUUAAGAGAGUUUUUUCUCGGAUUAUAUAAUUUUUAUAUUCGAGUUUCUGAGAAAACAAUUUGAUUUGUGGUGGCUUCAACAAUCACCUUCCUAGCAAAGAAAAAAAAAUUCCCGAGAAAGUCAUAUAAUUUCUUCUCGGUUAAAAUCAUGUCGGAUGGAUACUAUUACAGUUCUAAGAAAACUGACGAUGUCUGCGAAGAUGUUUGUGGACAGGUGAGACUUCUGAUUCCUAAUCUCUGUUCCGUUUCGAUUCUCAUCGAUUUCAUGAUGAUUCGUUUUUUUUUUGUCCUUCUUUGGCAUUAACGAAAUCGAGAUUCUGUUACCAAUUUGAUGAGAAUUGGUGGUAAUGCCAUGUCAUAUGGUUUGUUGUUCUUAUUCUUACCAUAAUUGUCUGAACACUACAAGAAAACACGCCGAAUUCCUACGGAGGUUCCGACGGACAUCAAUGUCGUCGGACGUUUGUGACGGAUUGCCGACCAAUUUCCGACGAAAACCAAAAAUUUGAAGUCGUCGGAAUUCUGUCGGCCAUUUCCGACGGAAUUCCGACGAAACAUGGCUCGUCGGAAUUUUCCGACGACUUUUCGACAACAUUCCGAUAAAAAAUUUAACCGUUGUCGUCAUCAGAAAUUCGUCGGAAUAUACCGACGAACCGACGAACUUCCGACGACAUUCCGAUUAACAGAUAUAACCGUUACAGUCGUCGGUAUUCCGUCGGAAUUUUCCGACGAAUUUCCGACAAACCAUGUGACCGUUGCCGACAAAUAUAUAUGACCGUUGUAUAGCCGUUUGAGAUUGGAAAAUACCGACGGUAUUCCGACGGACUGCCUUACAUCCGUCGGAGGGCCGUAAGCAAUUUCCUAUAAAUACAACCCCUCCUCAUUCAAAUCAUUCACACUUCAUUCUCUCUUCAUUCUCUUUAGUCAUAACAAUUCCGUGAAAAUCAUGUCUUCAGAAGUUUAUUAUCGUUCAUGGAUGGAUAAACCUCAUUUGUAUCUGAACACCAAUUUGCUUACGGAAGAAUACGUUCAAGGGAUUGGAGAAUUCAUGAGGCUUGUUCAACAGCAACCGGAUGCAAAAAUUGGUAUGUUAAGAUGUCCCUGCUCUACUUGCAAUAAUAAUAAGGUUAUAAAAGAAUUUGAUGUUUGGACUCAUUUGUAUAUGAAAGGGUUUUCACGUAAUUAUAAAGUUUGGUACCUUCAUGGGGAAACUGAUUAUGAAUAUGGUAGUACUAGCGAACCUCAGCUUGUUAGUGAACUUCAGCCUGAUAUUAGGUUAGAAGAAUCUAGAACGGAUAUAGAUUAUGGUGUAGGUACUGAGCAGAUGGUACAUGAUCAUUAUAGAGGAGAAGAACCAAAUCCCGAAUCUAGGAGAUUUUUUGACAUGUUGGAUGCAGGAAAACAACCUUUGUAUCAAAAUUGUAGAGAUGGUCAUUCAGCCUUAUCAUCUGCAACUAGAUUAAUGGGUAUUAAGACAGACUAUAAUUUGGCUGAAGAAUGUAUGGAUGCGAUUACUGAUUUUGUCAAAGGUAUUCUACCUGAGGAUAACCUUGCACCGGGUUCAUACUACGAGGUUCAGAAACUUGUUGCCGGUCUUCAACUACCGUACGAAGUGAUAGAUGUAUGUAUUGACAACUGCAUGAUCUACUGGAGAGCGGAUGAGACACGAAAUGUAUGCAAAUUUUGUGGGAAACCUCGUUAUCAGGAGACGAGGGGAAGAGUUCCGAUCCCGUUCAAAAGAAUGUGGUAUUUGCCUUUGACGGAAAGAUUGAAGAGGUUGUAUCAGUGUGAGCGCAUAGCAAAAGCAAUGAGUUGGCAUGCAGAGCAUUCCACAAAUGGUGAGAUUAGACAUCCUUCAGAUGCGAAGGCUUGGAAACAUUUCCAGUCAACAUAUCCAGAAUUUGCGGAAGAGAGAAUAAAUGUUUAUCUUGGAUUAUCUACUGAUGGUUUCAGCCCAUUUGGAAAGCAUGGAAGACAGUAUUCUCUAUGGCCAGUUAUUGUGACACCGUACAACUUACGGCCGAGCUUGUGCAUGCGACGAGAGUUUUUGUUUCUCUCAAUUCUCGUCCCCGAGCCAGAUCAUCCUAAAAGAUCACUAGAUGUGUUUCUUCAACCACUGAUAUAUGAGUUGCAACAACUAUGGGCGCAUGGUUUUGAGACAUACGAUGUUUCGUGCAAAGAAAACUUUCAGAUGCGGGCAGUACUUAUGUGGACAAUAAGUGACUUUCCAGCAUAUGGUAUGUUAUCUGGAUGGACAACACAUGGGAGGCUAUCAUGUCCAUAUUGUCAAGAUGACACAGAUGCUUUCCAACUAAAGAACGGAAGGAAAACGUGUUGGUUUGACUGUCACAGACGAUUACUACCACCUGAUCAUCCAUACUGCAAGAGUUAUGUGAGUCAUAUAUCAUAUUACCCUAUGCAAAUGAUUAGUUUAAAUUUAAUAUAAACUAAUUAACUUUUCAAUCAUAUAUGUUUUUAAUUUAUAGGUGAAUGAUGGUUUGGCCAGAGGUCUUGUGUUCGAUGAUUGGAUACGCGAAUUUGUGCAAGAACCAAACUAUGUGGUCAAAUCAUAUCCUAAAUUUUGUACGCGAGGAUAUGCAUUCACAAGGAAAUGUCAUUCUAAGACCACAUAUGAUGCUGGUGUUUCAUCUUCUUCCGGUGACGAUGUCUACUACGGCAACAUAAAAGAAAUAUUGGAAAUCUAAUUUCCUGGAAUGGUUGGAUUGCGUUGUGUAGUAUUCUAUUGUGAUUGGUAUGACACCACCCCAGAUAGAGGAGUGAAGAUUGAUGUGUUGGGUGUUACAUUAGUUCAUUCGCGGCGGAAACUUCAAUAUUAUGAUCCCUUCAUUCUUGGUUCGCAAGCUGAUCAGGUAUGUCAAUCUAUUAAUAAUUUUUUACCAAUAUAAUUAAUUAAUGUUAUAUAUUUUACUAAUACUUGUAUAAUUGAUAUGUAUAGGUGUGCUACAUCAGUUACCCUCGGGUGACGUACAGAGACGAUCCAUGGGUUACUGUAACGCAAAUCAACCCAAGAGGACGAGUGGAUGGAACUUCUGAUGAUGAUGAACCAUUGCAACCAGAGUCUACCAGCAACGCCCAGGCAGUUCAAGAUUUGGAGAAUGUUCAACUCGUUGAGAAUUUGACUGUGUUUGGACAUGAUGCUGUUGUACAUUCGGAGCCAGAAACCGAGGUUGGGGAGUUUGAUGAAGAUUCAGAAGAUUCUGAUUAGUUUUUUUUUUUUUUUUAUUGGUCCGUCGGAAAUCCCUCGCAAUAUACCGACGACAUAGCAACGACCAAGGGUUUCAUUGAAGUUUGGAAAGGUCGUCGGUAAUUCGUCGGUAUAUUCCGACGAAUUACCGACGAUGUGUGUUUCUAAAAAAUUUCAAUCAUAAAAAUCUAUAAAUUUAGAUGUCAAAACUAUGAAAAUAACACAUAAUAAGUGUUUAGUAUAGUAAUAGAUCGCAACCGUUCAAAUAUAACAACUCAUUAAAAUAUUUAUGUAUGCAUAUCAUUGUUUUCAUAACAUCUCAUCUUAACACUCAUAUACUUAUACAAUCAUAUUCAUAUUAUCUUACACUACAAAAAAUGUUGUUGUGUAAAAUCGUGCUAUAAAAACAUUUUUAUUAUUAAAUCUUUAUGCAAAUACUAUAUAUAUUAUCAAAGAUUUGGAUUUUGCAUUUAGAAACUUGUAAUCAACACCCUAAACACUAAGUCGUCGGAAUUCCGUCGGAAAAAGUCGUCAGUAUUCCGUCGGAAUAUACUGACGGACACAUUCCGUCGGAAUUCCAAUUUGCCCGGGAGAACCAAACCGCGUGAAAAUUUUCGCGAAUCGCCAAUUGGUAUAUUUUUAAUUAUACCGACGGAAUACUGACGAACUCGUGUCCGUCGGAAACUUUAGAUAUAAUAACCCUUCUUUUUCCUUCUUCGUUAUUUCCGCCUCUCUCUCUCAAACAUCCUCUCUCUCACGGCGAUUUCUCUCUCUCUCUCUCACGGCGAUUUCUCUCUCUCUCACGGCGAUUCCGGUCCUUAUGAACCUCCCAUCACCGGCGAAUCCUCUUCUCACCCUCAUAUCUCUUCCCCAAACCCCAAAUCAUGUAAGAAUCAUCCUAAACCUUGUUUUAUCUCAAUUGUUUAGGGUUUUGGAAGUUAGAUCUCGGAUUUUAGGUUGUUUGAUUGAAAAUUUUAGGAUUGAAUGGAUAGUUUAGGAUAUAUAAGUUAGGAUUGUUGUUUGGAUUGUUGUUUUAGUUUUUUUUGGAAUUCUUAUUUUUUUUUUGUUAAAAUUCAAAAUGUUUUACUAUUUUUAAAACGUUUUUUGAUUUUUAAAUACGUUUUUCAAGUUUCCAAUAAUAAAAUAUGUAAAAUAAAACGUUUUUAAAAUUUUUUAAAAAUAUUUAACAACAUUUUUCUAUAUUUAUAAAUUUUUUAUAAUUUUGUAUACAUAUAUAUAUAUAUAAAUCAUGUAUAAUAAAAAUUUUAAAAUUUUUUAUAAGUUUCCAGUAAUAAACUAUGUAUAAUAAAACGUUUUUAAUUUUUUUUUUAAUAUUUAACAACAUUUUUCUACAUUUAUAAAUUUUUUAUAAUUGUGUAUACAUAUAUAUAUAUAUAUAUAAAUCAUGUAUAAUAAAAAAUUUUAAAAUUUUAAUUAUUUUUUAUAAGUUUUCAGUAAUAAACUAUGUAUAAUAAAAGGUUUAAUAGUUUUUUUUAAAACGUUUAUAAAACUUUUUGUAAAUAUAUAAAUGAAAACAUUAAAAAUAGAAAUGAUUUGAAAAGAAUUUUGAUGUAUUAAUUUUUUUUUAGGUCCGAGGAUGAACCCUGCCCCGCAGCCCGUCUUCGACGUAGUUCGGUGAGCAGUUCCCGUGCAUCGGGAUCGUCUCAUGAACAAAACUCGGUUCCCGCAUAUAUUCCCGCUCCAGCUCCCGUUGCCCCUCCCGCUGCUGCUCAACAGGAUCCGGGGGUCAUGCCAGUUGAACUAUUGGUUCAACAACCAGGUUGAGAGCAUCUCCCGGUUCUCCAACCCAACCCACGACGAGGACAUAGCACUUGGUUAGUAUUUUUUUUAUUUCUAGCAUUAUGUUUUUUUCCAUUAAUUAACUUGCUAACUUGUAUUUUUUUUUUAAGGUUCACCAAGUCGAAAAAUGGCAUUAGCAGGAGCAUCAACCAGAUGAUGUACUCCAUGCUCCGUUUUGGAUAUUCAAAGUGGAGUGUGAUCCCUUCCGACGAACGAGAGUUGUGGUUUCGUCAGUUUGCGGUAUAGUAACUCUUCAUUUUUUUAAAGUUUUUACAUUUUUUAAAAUAUAUUUACUUAUUAAAUUAUGUUUGUUUUGUAUCAAGAGUUCAACUGGCACUCCGAUCUCACAGAAACAGUCCGUAAGAAAUUCAACGAAAAGGCCAUGGACUCUUAGACGAAGCAGAUAAACGCGUGGAAGACAGUUUAGCAGAAGAACAAGAGGCCACGGUUCAUCAACGGGACGGUGUGGGAGCAGUUGAUAGCUCAUUGGAGAAGGAAGAAACUGCAGAGACGUCUUCUAGGAACUCCAAGAACCGGAAGAGUGAUCGUGGCGGGAAAGGUAUGUAUGUGCACAACCUCGGCGCUUGCUCUAUGUCUACUAAGGAGGAUGAACUUGUAUGUUUUUUAUUAUUAUUUAUCUUUAUAUUUUUUAAAUAAAUAUUUUAUAUAUUCUGUGGCUAAUAAUGGCGGUUUUUUUAGAUCGAAGCAAAUGACGGUAAUCCCGUUGAUCGUCUCCAACUCAUUAAGGUAGCUCACACUAACAAGACGACGGGUCAAAUUCAGGACCCCGUGAUCAAAUGUGUCGUUGAUUUGGUGGAAGCUGAAAUAGCAAAUCAAUCUCAGCCUCUCUCUGAUGACGGUGAUUCUACGGGAGCUUCAACCAACUUGUCUCUAUUGCAAAUAAAUGAGAUGGUUGAAAAGGUAAUUUUUUUUAUAAUGUCGAUUACUAACUUGUCCAUAUUUACUAACUUAAAAUAUUUUUGUAGGCGGUUCCUAAAAGGAAAAGAGGUCGUUUAGUUGGGUUGGCCCGCCGUGCUUCUUCGUAUCUGGCAUCUUCUUCGCAAGCUCCGUAUGCCGAUUCCAUGAUUCUCGAGGAGCUACAUGACAAAGAUGAACGGAUUGGGGCAUUGGAGGAGCAGAACACCACUAUCCUUUCUGAGAAUGCCACUAUCCGUUCGGAGAAUGCCACUAUCAUUGCUGAGUUGGCAUCUCAGAAGAAGUUCAACACCGAGAUAAUGCAGAAGCUAAAUCGUUUGAUGUCUUCCAGUUCUUCUUAGUUUUUUCUGCUUUUUAAAACUUUCUGAAUGUUUUUUUUUUCUAUUUCGGUUAGUAUGAAUUUUAAACUUUCUGAAUGUUUUUUUCUAUUUCGGUUUGUAUGAAUUUAAAUUUUAUAAUAUUAUUAGUUUUAAAUUUCAGAUUUUUUUUAUUAAUUAAUUUUUAAUACAAAAAAAUAUAAAAAAAUGCAAAAUUAAUUCGUUUUUAAAAUUGGUAUAUUCCGACGAAUUCUGGGCGUCGGAAUAUACCGACGGACAACGGUUCCUCGGACAAUACCGACGGAGAGCAUUCCUCGAAAAAUACCGACGAACCAAUGUCUGUCGGUAUAUUCCGACGCCCAGAAUUCGUCGGAAUAUACCGAGGAAUCCACUCCGUCGGAAUUGUCCGAGGAACGUUCUCCGUCGGUAUAUAGUUUUUCCGAUGAACUCUGGUCUCGUGUGUCCGCAUCGUAAUAUCGUCGGAAGGUCGUCAGAAUGACGUUUUUUGGUAUUCGUCAGAAAGUCGUCGGAAGUUCUGACGAAAUUCCGACGAAUUUUUUUUUCCGACGAAACGAUACCGACGGAUUGGUUCGUCAGAAAUUCGUCGGAAUCGGUCUAUUCCGACGAAUUUCUGACGAUUUCGGCCAUCAGAAUCCCCAUGUUUUCUUGUAGUGAAAUCCAUAAGAUGAUUGUUUUGUUUUGUGAUAUGAUUUGUUUUAAGGUUUGAUUCUCUCUUUACAAUCUCCGUACCGGUUUACAAGGAUUGUUGAUUUGAUUCCUAACCGUCUCCGGUUUGUUUUUUUUUGUUCUCUAGAACGGUUCACGAGCAGCCAAGGCCUUGUCAAGAGUCAGAUGCUUACUACUAGGACUCGAUUUCAAAACCUACAUCCUCUUCUUCACCCUCGUCCCCUUACUCAUCUUCGGAGCCUACCUCCACGGCCAGAAGUUCACCUACUUCUUGAGACCCCUCUGGCAAUCACCUCCCAAACCCUUCCAAACCAUCCCCCACUACCACCACGUCAACGUCUCCAUGCAAACCCUCUGCGCCCUCCACG
This 43794-nucleotide long non-coding RNA is filed under the name Brassica napus (rape). RNAcentral's name for it is "long non-coding RNA (BNAP_LNC010576)". The record is from RNAcentral. Lineage: Eukaryota; Viridiplantae; Streptophyta; Magnoliopsida; Brassicales; Brassicaceae.